CCUACGGGAGGCAGCAGUGGGGAAUAUUGCACAAUGGGGGAAACCCUGAUGCAGCCACGCCGCGUGAGUGAAGACGUAAUUCGUUAUGUAAAGCUCUAUCAGCAGGGAAGAAAAUGACGGUACCUGAGUAAUAAGCCACGUCUCAUGACGUGACAGGAGCGGCGGUAACACGUAGGGGGCAAGCGUUAUCCGGAUUUACUGGGGGUAAAGGGAGCGUAGGUGGCAGUGAAAGUUUGGAGUGAAAGGCGGGGGCUCAACCCCCGGACUGCAGUGGAAACUGGACGGCUGGAGUGCAGGAGAGGUAAGUGGAAUGCCUGGUGUAGCGGUGAAAUGCGUAGAUAUUAGGAAGAACACCAGUUGCGAAGGCGGCAUACUGGACUGUAACUGACGUUGAGGCUCGAAAGCGUGGGGAGCGAACAGGAUUAGAUACCCCUGUAGUC
RNAcentral lists this ribosomal RNA (440 nucleotides) under uncultured bacterium. Its description in RNAcentral is "partial 16S ribosomal RNA". It matches the Rfam family "Bacterial small subunit ribosomal RNA", at positions 338 to 795 of the family's 1533-position model. The record is from RNAcentral.